Molecule: long non-coding RNA, 1175 nt
Filed under: Ficedula albicollis (Collared flycatcher)
Lineage: Eukaryota; Metazoa; Chordata; Aves; Passeriformes; Muscicapidae
Description: lncRNA (ENSFALG00000026657.1)
Source: RNAcentral
UCACCUGGGCAUCCCAUAAUACACCUGGGCAACCCGAAAUCCAUCCCUGGGACCCCGAAAUGCACCUGGCCAUCCCAUAAUGCAUCUGGGCAUCCCAUAAUGCACCUGGGGACCCCAAAAUGCCACCUGGCCAUCCCAUAAUGCACCUGGGGACCCUAAAAUGCCACCUGGCCAUCCCAUAAUACACCUGGGGACCCCGAAAUAUCACCUGGGCAUCCCAUAAUGCAUCUGGGCAUCCCAUAAUGCACCUGGGGACCCUAAAAUGCCACCUGGCCAUCCCAUAAUACACCUGGGGACCCCGAAAUAUCACCUGGGCAUCCCAUAAUGCAUCUGGGCAUCCCAUAAUGCACCUGGGGACCCUAAAAUGCCACCUGGCCAUCCCAUAAUACACCUGGGCAUCCCAGAAUAUCACCUGGGGACCCCGAAGUGUCACCUGGGCAUCCCAUAAUACACCUGGGGACCCCAAAAUACACCUGGGGACCCCGAAAUGUCACCUGGGCAUCCCACACCUGGCGACCCCAAAAUACACCUGGGGACCCCGAAAUGUCACCUGGGCAUCCCAUAAUACACCUGGGCAUCCCAUAAUACACCUGGGGACCCCAAAAUCCAUCCCUGGGACCCCAAAACGUCGCCUGGAGAGCUCAAAUAUCACCUGGGCACCCCUAAACUCACCUGGGGAACCCCAAAAUGUCACCUGGGCCCUUCCCAAAGCCCCCCUGAGGAGCCCCCAAACCUAUACUGGUUUAUACACGGUUGUACUGGGCUAUACUGGCCUGUAGUGGGUUAUACUGGUUUAUACACGGUUGUACUGGGCUGUACUGGGCUAUACUGAGCCGUACUGCGUUAUGCUGGGCUGUACUGGUUCAUACUGGGAUCCACCUGGGUGUGCUGGGGGGUUCUGAGGGUGCCCCCCAAUGGGGACCUCCAGUGACCCCCCCUGUCUGUCUGUCUGUCUGUCUGUCCUCUCCCUGUGCCCGUCUGUCCCCGUGUCCGUCCCCGUGUCCGUCCGUCUGUCCGUGUCCCAGAGGGGGUGGGGCCCCGCUCCGGGGGCUCUCGGGGCGCCGCCCCCCAGGGGGGUUGGGGGUCCCGGGGGACGCUGAGGCUGCGCUCGAGGGGCCCGGCCACGCUGCAGGAGCAGCCCUCGGCCUUCGAGGAGCGCGCGGUGGCCAAGGUGG